This 402-nucleotide ribosomal RNA is filed under the name uncultured bacterium. Its description in RNAcentral is "bacterial SSU rRNA". It matches the Rfam family "Bacterial small subunit ribosomal RNA", at positions 355 to 774 of the family's 1533-position model. The record is from RNAcentral.
UGGGGAAUAUUGGACAAUGGGCGAAAGCCUGAUCCAGCAAUGCCGCGUGAGUGAUGAAGGCCUUAGGGUUGUAAAGCUCUUUUACCCGGGAUGAUAAUGACAGUACCGGGAGAAUAAGCCCCGGCUAACUCCGUGCCAGCAGCCGCGGUAAUACGGAGGGGGCUAGCGUUGUUCGGAAUUACUGGGCGUAAAGCGCACGUAGGCGGCUAUUCAAGUCAGAGGUGAAAGCCUGGAGCUCAACUCCAGAACUGCCUUUGAAACUAGAUAGCUAGAAUCAUGGAGAGGUGAGUGGAAUUCCGAGUGUAGAGGUGAAAUUCGUAGAUAUUCGGAAGAACACCAGUGGCGAAGGCGGCUCACUGGACAUGUAUUGACGCUGAGGUGCGAAAGCGUGGGGAGCAAACA